Molecule: long non-coding RNA, 506 nt
Organism: Drosophila willistoni
Lineage: Eukaryota; Metazoa; Arthropoda; Insecta; Diptera; Drosophilidae
Exons: 3
Source: RefSeq, a predicted model, not a curated record
GCUGGCACACCGUGCGUAUACGUAAUCAUUUUCAUAAAACAUUGAGUUUAUAAUUUUAUACACUUUUUGUUCUUUUAGCUUUUAUUUACAGAGUGUAAACAUGGUUAACAUGAUGGCAAGGAGAAGAGGCAGAGGGUGUAUGUGCAUAUAUGCAUACUUGUCUGAACGUCCUCACCCACAUCCCGUGAGGUUAAUUUGAAAUUUUAUCAAAAGUUGAAGCACAGGCCCCGUUGCACACUGCUCACGGAAACGAAAUGUUGACCUGGAUGACUGCAAUGACGUUUGACUGUUGCUCCAUCAUCAUCGUCGUCGUCAUCUCCUUCAUCCUACCAAACGUUCACAUCUGUUUGGAGUUUCGAGACCAAAGUGAGGAAUUUUAAAUUAUCUUUUUAGUUAUACCAUAAGCUAAGGAAUAUAUGUAUGUAUGUAGUAACAUAUGUGUGCGGACAUGUAACCUGACUCCUACAUGACUACAAACCACAAAUGAAAUCAAUAAUUCUGUUAAA